GCUAAUUGCCGAGGUCCUCUUCUAGGAUUGGUUGUCCACUCAUAACCAUAAGAUAAUUAAAACGGGGGGGGGCAGGGUAAAAAAAAAACCCUUUUAUCAGCCAUAGGUUAAUGCAAGUGUUUAACAGAUGCUUCGCUAUUAAAAUAUUUCCCCCCAAUACUGAAGAAUCUUAAACCAGCAACCCUAACAGAGAUUGCGAAGAUUUUCAAAGUGGGGCACCUCGAUUUCUCGAAUCUGUGGUGUGGCGAAUAUCCGUGUUCCUCCUGCUUAACUAGCCUGUUUGAAGGCACAGUUCAUUCUCGAGCAAUUCGUCACCUCCUGGGGGUCUUCUCUUCCCGUCUACAGGAGAGUGUGACUUCAGAAAGAACUUCGGAUUGGCCAAGGUCUGAUUCUAUUUAUUCUAAAGACAGAGUUGGAGAUGGGCUACCAUUGGUGUUGAUUGAGAUGACAAGCAGUCACCUGAGCCCAUACAGCUGGGUUCACAGAUGUGGCUAGUCUUGCUAGCCAGCUCGCACUGUGGACAUUCUAGGGAACUGACUGCAGUCCUCAUGCUUGGAGUCAAACACUUUAACCACUGCACACGUUUAUGUAAUAGGAUUGACAUAUGAGAAUCAGAGAAAUGAAUGAAAGAUUAGAGUGGGAGAAAGUGCUUGCUGCCAAGCUUGAUGACCUAAAUUGAAUACCUGGAACCUACACGACAGAAAGAGAGAGCUGACUGCUGAAAGAUGUCCUCAGAUCUUCACAUGUGCACAGUGGCACCUAUCCAACCAUGCACAUAGUAUAUUAAAAAUUAUUUUUUAAAAAAUCCA
This 809-nucleotide long non-coding RNA is filed under the name Mus musculus (house mouse). RNAcentral's name for it is "Hand2, opposite strand 1". The record is from RNAcentral. Lineage: Eukaryota; Metazoa; Chordata; Mammalia; Rodentia; Muridae.